GACGUAGGGCGCGAGCGUUGUCCGGAUUUAUUGGGCGUAAAGAGCUCGUAGGCGGCUUGUCGCGUCGACUGUGAAAACCCGCGGCUCAACCCCGGGCCUGCAUUCGAUACGGGCAGACUAGAGUUCGGUAGGGGAGUCUGGAAUUCCUGGUGUAGCGGUGAAAUGCGCAGAUAUCAGGAGGAACACCGGUGGCGAAGGCGGGACUCUGGGCCGAUACUGACGCUGAGGAGCGAAAGCGUGGGGAGCAAACAGG
Molecule: ribosomal RNA, 253 nt
Filed under: uncultured bacterium
Lineage: Bacteria
Description: partial 16S ribosomal RNA
Rfam family: Bacterial small subunit ribosomal RNA
Source: RNAcentral